CUUCCGAUCAGUGGCGGCAAUCAUGUCUUCAGCGAAGGAUGCCGAUCCCUCCCUUGGUUAUCUGGCCCGGAAAGAUACCGAGGUGAAGCUGCCUCGGCCAACGCGGGUGAAAAACAAAACACCGGCCCCCAUUCAGAUUACCGCGGAGCAGAUACUGCGCGAGGCACGGGAACGUCAGGAAGCUGAAAUCCGGCCUCCCAAGCAGAAGAUCACUGACUCAACUGAACUCGCUGAGUAUCGGCUUCGCAAAAGAAAGGAGUUUGAAGACCUAAUCAGACGGAUUCGAUGGAAUAUUAGUGUAUGGAUUAAAUACGCACAGUGGGAGGAAUCACAGAAAGACUUCAAUAGAGCUCGUUCUGUUUGGGAACGUGCACUCGAGGUUGAUUACCGGAAUCACACGCUAUGGCUCAAAUACGCAGAGGUGGAGAUGAAGAACAAGUUCAUAAAUCAUGCCAGGAAUGUAUGGGACCGUGCUGUCACGCUUUUGCCUCGUGUGGAUCAGCUCUGGUACAAGUACAUUCACAUGGAGGAGAUGCUUGGAAAUGUGGCCGGGGCUAGACAGAUUUUUGAAAGAUGGAUGAAUUGGAUGCCUGACCAACAAGGAUGGCUUUCUUAUAUCAAAUUUGA
This 627-nucleotide unclassified non-coding RNA is filed under the name Hevea brasiliensis (rubber tree). Lineage: Eukaryota; Viridiplantae; Streptophyta; Magnoliopsida; Malpighiales; Euphorbiaceae. The record is from RNAcentral.